UCUCUCCCAUCGUUCCCAUCUCUCUUCUCAAGCGACUGAUAGGCACGCCUCUCCUCGAUCCGCCGGCUUGCUUCUCCGGCGAGCUCCCCCGCCGCUAUAACCUCGUACCCUCCAUUCUCCUCCCCCCUCCCACCUCAUCGACCCUCUCUUUCCCGCUGAAGGCUGCAAGGGGCGGAUGGGUAGAUGCUGCGCCCAGCCACCAUCCCUGCAAACGGCGAGCUCAAGCGAUACCGAUGAUGCAACCAGCUCCGAGGGUUGCUACAACCAGCAUCAUGCGGUGCUACAACCAGCACUGCGGGCAGCUAGAACUGGCUGCUCCAGAGGUGCGACGGCACGCCGCCGUUUGCUGAAACCGGCACUACGGGAAGCUGCAACCAGCUUUGUGAAUAGCUGCAACCAGUAGUCUGCGGUGCUACGACCAGCAGAGGGCGGCGAGGAGAGAGGUCGACCACGGCGGCGAGCUAGGGGCGGUGACGCCGUGCUAUGUUGAGCGACGUGAAUUACUGACCCGCGUUUGACGGAGCUGCAUCCGGCAAGGGAUGAUGCUGGAACCACUGCGAGAUGAGGAGGGCGUGCGACGACGAUGGAUUCAAGCAGCGGAGAGAGGCGGCGAGCGGUGGAGAUCCGGCGGAUCAUGUCACUCAUCCAUGGCGCUCGUGCCCCUGUGCGUGCUCGCGUGAUUUGCAGGGGAAAAGAAAAAAAGGAAAGUGUAUGAUAGAGAUGAAAGAGUUGUAAAUUUGAUGGAUAAAAAGUGUUUAAUCUGACGUACAGGGUACGACCGGCCCUAAUUUAGGCCGGUGCACCGGCGCCUAGCGCUGCCCUUUUUGUA
This is a long non-coding RNA of Triticum aestivum (bread wheat), 829 nucleotides long. RefSeq lists it as uncharacterized. The record is from RefSeq and is a predicted model, not a curated record. NCBI's taxonomy places the organism in Eukaryota, Viridiplantae, Streptophyta, Magnoliopsida, Poales, Poaceae. The transcript has 2 exons.